GGAUGUGAGGGCGAUCUGGCUGUGACAUCUGUCACCCCAUUGAUUGCCAGCGUUGAUUCGGCUGAUCUGGCUGGCUAGGCAGGUGUCGCCUUCCUCCCUCACCGCUCCAUGUGCGACCCUCCCAAAGCUGCACGCUCAGUCGAAGAGGACGACCAUCCAAGGGUAUACGAGUAGCUGCGCUCCCCUGCUAGAACCUCCAAACAAGCUCUCAAGAAAUAAUAAAAUAAUUUGACAGGCCGGGCACGGUGCCUCAUGGCUGUAAUCCUAGCACUUUGGGAGGCCGAGG
Molecule: small nuclear RNA, 286 nt
Filed under: Aotus nancymaae (Ma's night monkey)
Lineage: Eukaryota; Metazoa; Chordata; Mammalia; Primates; Aotidae
Description: 7SK RNA (ENSANAG00000010680.1)
Rfam family: 7SK RNA
About the family: 7SK was discovered as an abundant small nuclear RNA in the mid-70s but a possible function has only recently been suggested. Two independent studies have found that 7SK RNA binds the CDK9/cyclin T complex (known as elongation factor P-TEFb).
Source: RNAcentral